This 76-nucleotide transfer RNA is filed under the name Pseudomonas sp. Its description in RNAcentral is "tRNA-Val". It matches the Rfam family "tRNA". Rfam says of the family: Transfer RNA (tRNA) molecules are approximately 80 nucleotides in length. Their secondary structure includes four short double-helical elements and three loops (D, anti-codon, and T loops). The record is from RNAcentral. Lineage: Bacteria; Pseudomonadati; Pseudomonadota; Gammaproteobacteria; Pseudomonadales; Pseudomonadaceae. RNAcentral also lists the same sequence under 9 other names.
GGACGGUUAGCUCAGUUGGUAGAGCACUGUGUUCACAUCGCAGGGGUCACUGGUUCGAGUCCAGUACCGUCCACCA